RNAcentral lists this ribosomal RNA (458 nucleotides) under uncultured bacterium. RNAcentral's name for it is "partial 16S ribosomal RNA". It matches the Rfam family "Bacterial small subunit ribosomal RNA", at positions 338 to 795 of the family's 1533-position model. The record is from RNAcentral.
CCUACGGGAGGCAGCAGUGAGGAAUAUUGGUCAAUGGGCGAGAGCCUGAACCAGCCAAGUCGCGUGAGGGAGUACUGCCCUAUGGGUUGUAAACCUCUUUUGUCGGGGAGCAAAAGCCGGACGUUUCCGGCUGUGAGAGUACCCGAAGAAAAAGCAUCGGCAAACUCCGUGCCAGCAGCCGCGGUAAUACGGAGGAUGCGAGCGUUAUCCGGAUUUAUUGGGUUUAAAGGGUGCGCAGGCGGAUUUUUAAGUCAGCGGUAAAAUCGUGGGGCUCAACCCCAUCCAGCCGUUGAAACUGGGGAUCUAGAGUGUGCGAGAGGUAUGCGGAAUGCGUGGUGUAGCGGUGAAAUGCAUAGAUAUCACGCAGAACCCCGAUUGCGAAGGCAGCAUACCGGUGCACAACUGACGCUCAGGCACGAAAGCGUGGGUAUCGAACAGGAUUAGAUACCCCAGUAGUC